CCUACGGGUGGCAGCAGUGGGGAAUAUUGGGCAAUGGAGGCAACUCUGACCCAGCAACGCCGCGUGAGUGAUGAAGGUCUUCGGAUUGUAACACUCUUUAAGUGGGGACGAAGAAAGUGACUGUACCCACAGAAUAAGCCUCGGCUAACUACGUGCCAGCAGCCGCGGUAAUACGUAGGAGGCAAGCGUUAUCCGGAAUGACUGGGCUUAAAGGGUGCGUAGGGGGUUUGACAAGUGAGUAGCGUAAUUCCGGGUCUCAACUUCGGAACUACUCCUAAACCUGUUGGGCUUGAGUGGAGGAGAGGUGAAUGGAAUGCCUGGGGUAGCGGUGGAAUGCGUAGAUAGUAGGAGGAACACCAGCGGCGAAAGCGAUUCACUGGACUGUAACUGACACUGAGGCACGAAAGCGUGGGGAGCAAACAGGAUUAGAUACCCGUGUAGUC
Molecule: ribosomal RNA, 443 nt
Filed under: uncultured bacterium
Lineage: Bacteria
Description: partial 16S ribosomal RNA
Rfam family: Bacterial small subunit ribosomal RNA
Source: RNAcentral